Hippocampus zosterae (dwarf seahorse) is the source of this 1164-nucleotide long non-coding RNA. RefSeq lists it as uncharacterized. The record is from RefSeq and is a predicted model, not a curated record. Lineage: Eukaryota; Metazoa; Chordata; Actinopteri; Syngnathiformes; Syngnathidae. The transcript is spliced from 2 exons.
UCCUUGUCAAGCCUUUACGAGUAUCCCACUGAUGCAUCUUUUGGUUCGAGCGAGUUGACAAGAACCUGCUCUAUUCCGCGAGGGAUCCAUUUUCUGACAUGUUACGGUCUAAACCAGUGACCGAAUCAUAAUCCAGAUGUUUGUGUGUUUCUCCACUGUCAAAUCCAAACGAGGGAAAUAUUUUUCUCAACUCCAAUUCAUUUACUUAGAAGAAAAAAAUAAUUUUAUUAUUAACAUUUAACAACCUUUCAAGCCCAAAUAGAAGCUACGUUGCUUAAUUUAAAUUUUUUUUUCUGUUUAAACGCCCCACAGAAAAGCUCACAGGCUACCGCGCAAGCUAGCAUUGUUGUCUAUGAAUGAUCUUACUUUUCCAGCUGCUCCUCCAAAUAUCGUAUUUGUGUUAGGAACAACUUGUCCCCGUCCAAAAGCUCGGUGAUUUCGGCCGCCAUGGUUAAUAGUUUAUUGAUUUUUUUUUAUUUAUUUGAUUAACUGUCUUAAAAAUUGAUUGUUGUCUGAAAUGAAAACUCAGGAUGUGACAAGCAGGUAGGGGAGCUGAGCGGUGCUGCCUUUUGGCACCUCUCGAAAAACCUCAACUUUGACCAGACAUUCGGCUCGUACGCAUGUUUAAAUCCAAUUCAAAUGCCGGUCCCCCCACCACCACCAAGACCCCCGCGUCGGACCGGAACGUCGCGUCACUGCUUUGAACAAGAGACGAGACGUCACAGGCAGAGUUCUCCUUUGUCAACGUGGUUUGUUUGCACUGGUUCUAACGGCCACUAGAUGGCGUUCUCGCUCUUCUCGAUGGCUUUGUAAGGGCUUGUUUGAGACCGGAAGUUCCUGAUUGCGGAGGAGCCGAGAUAAGGGCGGAAAGUUGGAAACUUGGCGAAUCAAGAGCGGCUCUUCUUACGAAGCUCCGAUUUUCAAGAUGGCCUGCAGAAAAGCCCCCCCUGCCGCUGACCACAGCGUGACCAUCAGGAAGUACGUGACGUUCCUUUGAUGUCUCAAAUUUGACGCCGUCACCUCAUUAGCUCCCGCGCGAAUGGCGAGCACUCAAACGGGGGGGCCCCCCGUCGGAAGCCGAGGAUACUGUUUAAUGCCUCCACGCGCGCAACCGCAGGUCCUGGCAUCUGCUUCUUAUUAAGACGCACACAUGCUCUUAGUUUG